This 58-nucleotide ribosomal RNA is filed under the name Alternaria sp. RNAcentral's name for it is "partial 18S ribosomal RNA". It matches the Rfam family "Eukaryotic small subunit ribosomal RNA", at positions 1774 to 1831 of the family's 1831-position model. Lineage: Eukaryota; Fungi; Ascomycota; Dothideomycetes; Pleosporales; Pleosporaceae. The record is from RNAcentral.
UUGAGGAAGUAAAAGUCGUAACAAGGUCUCCGUAGGUGAACCUGCGGAGGGAUCAUUA